CAAGAAAUAGUUUAUGAAGAACGUUAAUUUUGGAGAUUAAGAGUAUAAUAAGUUAUUUAUUUUUUUGA
This 68-nucleotide transfer RNA is filed under the name Stenamma megamanni. Its description in RNAcentral is "tRNA-Pro". Lineage: Eukaryota; Metazoa; Arthropoda; Insecta; Hymenoptera; Formicidae. The record is from RNAcentral.